This 629-nucleotide unclassified non-coding RNA is filed under the name Zea mays. Its description in RNAcentral is "misc RNA Zm00001eb155960". Lineage: Eukaryota; Viridiplantae; Streptophyta; Magnoliopsida; Poales; Poaceae. The record is from RNAcentral.
UGCUUUAUUAAGUCGUUAUUAUUUCGACAACUUGAACCCACAGCUGAAACCCACUGGCCACUGCCCACUGGCAACCCCCCACGUACAUAUCACGAAAACCAAGUUUGCAUUUCUUGCCGGCAGCACAAGCUCCCUACUUCAUCGACGCCAAGAGGGCUUGAAAAAACGGAAACCGUAGCGAGACCCCCUCACGGCGAAGAAAACACGAGAGAGGCGAAGCAGUCACCAGGCUAACAACGCAAACACACAGAGACAGAGACAGAUCAAAGCCGCCCCCAUCGUCAUCACGACGACUGACGAGAACGCACGCAGACAUGGACUACCUAUGGAGCUGCAAGGGUCGGUUCAGUUCAGUCGCGGUAGAAGACGAGCAGCGCGACGCAGCGGCAGAUGAUGCGGAGCCGCGCACCCUGCUCCUUCACGGCCCUGCCGAGGCCCCUAGCCCCGCGCCUCCCCUGUCGACUCCUGACGACGACGAGCUCCAUCUCCCCUCCACCAGGGCUCCUCCUCUGCGUCGAGCGAACAACCGCGAAGCGCGAGAACCCGAUCGCGAGCUGGAUCUCGAUGGCACCACGCAUGCAAGGGAGGGGAGACUGGACAGCAGCCGGCCUCCUCCGCGGACAAGCUUG